This 950-nucleotide ribosomal RNA is filed under the name Microbacterium testaceum. Its description in RNAcentral is "bacterial SSU rRNA". It matches the Rfam family "Bacterial small subunit ribosomal RNA", at positions 36 to 997 of the family's 1533-position model. The record is from RNAcentral. Lineage: Bacteria; Bacillati; Actinomycetota; Actinomycetes; Micrococcales; Microbacteriaceae.
UUGGGGGGGCGUGCUUAAACAUGCAAGUCGAACGGUGAAGCCAAGCUUGCUUGGUGGAUCAGUGGCGAACGGGUGAGUAACACGUGAGCAACCUGCCCUGGACUCUGGGAUAAGCGCUGGAAACGGCGUCUAAUACUGGAUAUGAGCCCCUAUCGCAUGGUGGGGGUUGGAAAGAUUUUUUGGUCUGGGAUGGGCUCGCGGCCUAUCAGCUUGUUGGUGAGGUAAUGGCUCACCAAGGCGUCGACGGGUAGCCGGCCUGAGAGGGUGACCGGCCACACUGGGACUGAGACACGGCCCAGACUCCUACGGGAGGCAGCAGUGGGGAAUAUUGCACAAUGGGCGAAAGCCUGAUGCAGCAACGCCGCGUGAGGGAUGACGGCCUUCGGGUUGUAAACCUCUUUUAGCAGGGAAGAAGCGAAAGUGACGGUACCUGCAGAAAAAGCGCCGGCUAACUACGUGCCAGCAGCCGCGGUAAUACGUAGGGCGCAAGCGUUAUCCGGAAUUAUUGGGCGUAAAGAGCUCGUAGGCGGUUUGUCGCGUCUGCUGUGAAAUCCCGAGGCUCAACCUCGGGCCUGCAGUGGGUACGGGCAGACUAGAGUGCGGUAGGGGAGAUUGGAAUUCCUGGUGUAGCGGUGGAAUGCGCAGAUAUCAGGAGGAACACCGAUGGCGAAGGCAGAUCUCUGGGCCGUAACUGACGCUGAGGAGCGAAAGGGUGGGGAGCAAACAGGCUUAGAUACCCUGGUAGUCCACCCCGUAAACGUUGGGAACUAGUUGUGGGGACCAUUCCACGGUUUCCGUGACGCAGCUAACGCAUUAAGUUCCCCGCCUGGGGAGUACGGCCGCAAGGCUAAAACUCAAAGGAAUUGACGGGGACCCGCACAAGCGGCGGAGCAUGCGGAUUAAUUCGAUGCAACGCGAGAACCUUACCAAGGCUUGACAUAUACGAGAAC